UACAGAGGGUGCGAGCGUUGUCCGGAAUCACUGGGCGUAAAGGGCGCGUAGGUGGCCUGAUAAGUCGGGGGUGAAAUCUCGAGGCUCAACUUCGAGGCUGCCUCCUAAACUGUCAGGCUUGAGCAGAGUAGAGGCAGGUGGAAUUCCCGGUGUAGCGGUGGAAUGCGUAGAGAUCGGGAAGAACAUCGGUGGCGAAGGCGGCCUGCUGGGCUCUUGCUGACACUGAGGCGCGACAGCGUGGGGAGCAAACAGG
This 253-nucleotide ribosomal RNA is filed under the name uncultured bacterium. RNAcentral describes it as "partial 16S ribosomal RNA". It matches the Rfam family "Bacterial small subunit ribosomal RNA", at positions 524 to 776 of the family's 1533-position model. The record is from RNAcentral.